Molecule: unclassified non-coding RNA, 302 nt
Filed under: Hevea brasiliensis (rubber tree)
Lineage: Eukaryota; Viridiplantae; Streptophyta; Magnoliopsida; Malpighiales; Euphorbiaceae
Source: RNAcentral
GCUCGAUAUCAGGUGUGGGAGCGCCCUUCUCUUUCUGCGAAAGGAAAAACCUGAUUCGCUUAAAACAUUCAUAGACGCUUCUAAUCUCAUCUCUAUUCCUUCUCCUGAGGAGGAUUUCGGCUUGGGACAGUUGAGGUGGAGUGGGAGGCGAUGGAGCGGCGGAAGUCUGGUCCAUCACUGGAAUUUGCGGUGGCGGUGGCUGAGGCAACUGGUGAAGUAGGGGCGGUGGUUCUGGAGCGAGUGGUCCGUAGUUCCGGCGCUUCUUGAGAGGCUGCUCCGCCGAGGCCAUGGCCCACUGCGAG